This 217-nucleotide ribosomal RNA is filed under the name uncultured bacterium. RNAcentral's name for it is "partial 16S ribosomal RNA". It matches the Rfam family "Bacterial small subunit ribosomal RNA", at positions 326 to 539 of the family's 1533-position model. The record is from RNAcentral.
ACGCUCGACACCUACGAGGCAGCAGUGAGGAAUAUUGGUCAAUGGGCGCUAGCCUGAACCAGCCAAGUAGCGUGAAGGAUGAAGGCUCUAUGGGUCGUAAACUUCUUUUAUAUAAGAAUAAAGUGCAGUAUGUAUACUGUUUUGUAUGUAUUAUAUGAAUAAGGAUCGGCUAACUCCGUGCUAGCAGCCGCGGUAAUCUGAGGCGGGCUGGCAAGGC